CCUACGGGUGGCUGCAGUGAGGAAUAUUGGUCAAUGGCCGAGAGGCUGAACCAGCCAAGUCGCGUGAGUGAAGACGGCUCUACGGGUUGUAAACCUCUUUUGUCGGGGAGCAAAGAGAGUCGCGUGUGACUCAUUGAGAGUACCGUACGAAUAAGCAUCGGCUAACUCCGUGCCAGCAGCCGCGGUAAUACGGGGGAUGCAAGCGUUAUCCGGAUUUCUUGGGUUGAAAGGGUGCGUAGGCUGUGAGGUAAGUCAGCGGGGAAAUGCCCCCGCUCAACGGGGUGAAGGGCCAUUGAUACUGCCUGGCUGGAGUGCGGAUGCGGUGGGAGGAAUGUGUGGUGUAGCGGUGAAAUGCAUAGAUAUCACACAGAACACCGAUUGCGAAGGCAUCUCACGAAUCCGCGAUUGACGCUGAUGCACGAAAGCGUGGGUAUCAAACAGGAUUAGAUACCCCAGUAGUC
Molecule: ribosomal RNA, 461 nt
Filed under: uncultured bacterium
Lineage: Bacteria
Description: partial 16S ribosomal RNA
Rfam family: Bacterial small subunit ribosomal RNA
Source: RNAcentral